AACGAACGCUGGCGGCAGGCUUAACACAUGCAAGUCGAACGCCCCGCAAGGGGAGUGGCAGACGGGUGAGUAACGCGUGGGAAUCUACCCAUCCCUACGGAAUAACGCAUGGAAACGUGUGCUAAUACUGUAUACGCCCUACGGGGGAAAGAUUUAUCGGGGAUGGAUGAGCCCGCGUUGGAUUAGCUAGUUGGUGGGGUAAAGGCCUACCAAGGCGACGAUCCAUAGCUGGUCUGAGAGGAUGAUCAGCCACAUUGGGACUGAGACACGGCCCAAACUCCUACGGGAGGCAGCAGUGGGGAAUAUUGGACAAUGGGCGCAAGCCUGAUCUAGCCAUGCCGCGUGAGUGAUGAAGGCCUUAGGGUUGUAAAGCUCUUUCACCGGAGAAGAUAAUGACGGUAUCCGGAGAAGAAGCCCCGGCUAACUUCGUG
This 431-nucleotide ribosomal RNA is filed under the name uncultured bacterium. RNAcentral's name for it is "partial 16S ribosomal RNA". It matches the Rfam family "Bacterial small subunit ribosomal RNA", at positions 29 to 507 of the family's 1533-position model. The record is from RNAcentral.